This is a long non-coding RNA of Leopardus geoffroyi (Geoffroy's cat), 998 nucleotides long. RefSeq lists it as uncharacterized. The transcript is spliced from 5 exons. Lineage: Eukaryota; Metazoa; Chordata; Mammalia; Carnivora; Felidae. The record is from RefSeq and is a predicted model, not a curated record.
UUCUCUCUCUCCCUCUUUCUCUCUGCCCUCCCUUGCUCACACUCUCUCUCUUUCAAAAAUAAAUGAACUUAAAACAUAAAAAUGGGGCUUCAGAAAGCCCACCCUGCUAAAGUGCUCCAAACAGCAAUAAUGAUCUCACACUCACAAAAUGGCUAAUUGUGAAACCUGUUGUUGAUUCUGUUUUCCUCAGUAAAACAUCAACCCUAUAUGAAGUCCGUGCCCUGCUGUAUCACCCCCAGGGCACUGGCGAAUGCUCUGGGUGAAGUGUGGAGGUUGGACUGGGGGUGGGGGGAGAAGACCCACUAAGGGGUGGUGGAAGUGGGGGCUGUGGAGGGAAAUGGAGGCUGGCAGAAAGACACAGGGGCUGGAGUGGCCCUGGCAAAGGCCCAUUUUACAGAUGAAGAAACUAAGGCUCAGCUAGGUGAUACUAGAUCUGGCCUUUCCUUUCUGCAAAACUUACCUUUUUUCCUUUGGAGACACGGAGUGCCAGGUGAACAAUUCUCCAGGAGGACAGAAAUCCGGCAAUGUGGAUGUGAAGACGCAGGAUCCAGCCAGGGCAGGAGAGAAGGACCCGUGCCAGACAUGCCUGAUUCCACGCAUCAUCCCUUUUGUCUACCUUGUGGCGGGUUGGUCCCCCGGGACACAGACUCUGAGCCAGGCUACACGGAUCAAAGGCCACUGACCAGCUCAGGGACUGGCUGUGUUUGGGACCCUCCAAGAGUAUCAGCUAGUCUCUUCGAGUCAUGAUCUCCCUACAAGGUGAACCAUUGGGGAAAUACAUGUCACAAAGUGUCAUCUCAGACCACCUGCAGGACACAGCCUCCAGGCUAACUGGGAGCCACGCUGGAUGGGAGGACAUUUUGCAUCCUGCUGUGAGCAUCACCCGUGAGCACACAAAUUAUGUAGCCGACCCUGACCCGAAGCAGCACCUGAGAAGUGUCACUGGGACCAGGCAGGAACCUCCACACUAUUUUCCAGAGUGGCUGCACCAGUUUGCA